Molecule: long non-coding RNA, 270 nt
Organism: Apis florea (little honeybee)
Lineage: Eukaryota; Metazoa; Arthropoda; Insecta; Hymenoptera; Apidae
Source: RefSeq, a predicted model, not a curated record
UCGCGCCUCCUACCCUCUCUCUCUCUCUCUCUCUCUCUCUCUCUCUCUCUGAUCCGGGAUCAGGGGGCCUACUCUUCUCUUUCCCAUCUUCCCGAGGAUCGAGCAGGAAGAGGGACAACAUCCAGAUCGAGAAGAAAAGAAGAAAUUUCGGGCGAUGCUGUUCCGUGCUUCCUUACUUCCCAUAGUGGAUGCGACGUAUGGAAUGUAAAGAAGUAUGGAGCUGCGCCCGGAGUUGCAUCAGUUCAACGUUGAAGGAAAUGGAUGGGUGAA